GCGAAUGGCUCAUUAAAUCAGUUAUCGUUUAUUUGAUAGUACCUUACUACUUGGAUAACCGUGGUAAUUCUAGAGCUAAUACAUGCUAAAAACCCCAACUUCGGGAGGGGUGUAUUUAUUAGAUAAAAAACCAAUGCCCUUCGGGGCUCCUUGGUGAUUCAUGAUAACUUCUCAGAUCGCAUAGCCUUGAGCUGGCGACGGUUCAUUCAAAUUUCUGCCCUAUCAACUUUCGAUGGUAAGGUAGUGGCUUACCAUGGUUUCAACGGGUAACGGGGAAUUAGGGUUCGAUUCCGGAGAGGGAGCCUGAGAAACGGCUACCACAUCCAAGGAAGGCAGCAGGCGCGCAAAUUACCCAAUUCCGAUACGGAGAGGUAGUGACAAUAAAUACUGAUACAGGGCUCUUUUGGGUCUUGUAAUUGGAAUGAGUACAAUUUAAACCUCUUAACGAGGAACAAUUGGAGGGCAAGUCUGGUGCCAGCAGCCGCGGUAAUUCCAGCUCCAAUAGCGUAUAUUAAAGUUGUUGCAGUUAAAAAGCUCGUAGUUGAACCUUUGGCCUGGCUGGCAGGUCCGCCUCACCGCGUGCACUUGACCGGCCGGGCCUUUCUUUCUGGAGAACCGCAUGCCCUUCACUGGGUGUGUUGGGGACCAGGACUUUUACUUUGAAAAAAUUAGAGUGUUCAAAGCAGGCCUUUGCUCGAAUACGUUAGCAUGGAAUAAUAGAAUAGGACGUCGCGGUCCUAUUUUGUUGGUUUCUAGGACCGCCGUAAUGAUUAAUAGGGACAGUCGGGGGCAUCAGUAUUCAAUUGUCAGAGGUGAAAUUCUUGGAUUUAUUGAAGACUAACUACUGCGAAAGCAUUUGCCAAGGAUGUUUUCAUUAAUCAGUGAACGAAAGUUAGGGGAUCGAAGACGAUCAGAUACCGUCGUAGUCUUAACCAUAAACUAUGCCGACUAGGGAUCGGGCGGUGUUUCUAAUGUGACCCGCUCGGCACCUUACGAGAAAUCAAAG
Molecule: ribosomal RNA, 1006 nt
Filed under: Montagnula sp. LL-2023a
Lineage: Eukaryota; Fungi; Ascomycota; Dothideomycetes; Pleosporales; Didymosphaeriaceae
Description: SSU rRNA
Rfam family: Eukaryotic small subunit ribosomal RNA
Source: RNAcentral